Molecule: ribosomal RNA, 253 nt
Filed under: uncultured bacterium
Lineage: Bacteria
Description: partial 16S ribosomal RNA
Rfam family: Bacterial small subunit ribosomal RNA
Source: RNAcentral
UACGUAGGGGGCAAGCGUUGUCCGGAUUUAUUGGGCGUAAAGAGCGUGUAGGCGGCUAGGUAGGUCCGUUGUGAAAACUCGAGGCUCAACCUCGAGACGCCGAUGGAAACCAUCUGGCUAGAGUCCGGAAGAGGAGAGUGGAAUUCCCGGUGUAGCGGUGAAAUGCGCAGAUAUCGGGAAGAACACCCGUGGCUAAGGCGGCUCUCUAGUACGGUACUGACGCUGAGACGCGAAAGCGUGGGGAGCGAACAGG